GACCUGGAGGGCUGUCCUGGUCAACUUCUCAUUCUAGAGUGGGAAUACCCUCAUCACAGCUGACUUGGAACCUUGGUGUGAAGAUGGAACAAGGCAGAGAAUGUGAAGUUGCUGCAUCUGAGGAUAAAGGAGAGGAUUAAGAUGUUAGCAACUGUGAAACAGAAGGGAGAAGACAGGAAGGAGACUUUAUUAAGGAUGAAAAAUGGCUGCGAUUUUGAAAACAGUCUUGUUGACAGAAUCAAGGGGGAUCUUCAUUCCCCAACCAGGGAUCGAACCCAUGCCCCCUGCAUUGGAAGUGUGGAAUCUUAACCACUGGGCUACCAGGAAAGUCCUGUAACUGGUGUUUUUAUAAGUAGAGGAAAUUAGGAGACAGACAUAUUCAGAGGGAAGACCAUGUGAAGAAACAGUGAGAAAGCAGCCAUUUAUGUGCCAAGGAGAGUGGCCUCAGAAGAAACCAACACUGCUAACACAUUCAUCUGAGACUCACAGACUCCAGAAUUGUGACCAAAAAAGUGAUUUCUUAUUUAAGUCACCCAGUCUGCGGUACUCUAUUAUGGCAGCCUUGGCAAGGCAACACUGAUUAUCUGCAACUGCUUUUCCCAGAGUACUUACUUAUCUGGACACCUCUACAGUCUGCAAAUCCAGCCUUGGUAUCUGGCAGAGGGACACUUCUGUGGGACAGAUAAACUAGUAGAAUAAGUCUUGGUGGUUAUUAUUAGGCCAAAGUGACAAAGUCUAAGACUCAAGGAGCCUCAAACUACUACCAGUCUACUUGUUAGUAGACAUGCCAAGUCUGAAGCUUCAAAGGUGGGGAAUCAAAAUGCCAAGACACAAAUCUCCAGAGAGUGGAGUAAAAUUUUCUGCCAUUAAUGAGUUGAAGAAAAGUUAGGCUCUUGAUUGAAAUUCCUGAUAGGAAGAAAUCAGACUGAGGC
This is a long non-coding RNA of Bos taurus (domestic cattle), 932 nucleotides long. The record is from Ensembl. Lineage: Eukaryota; Metazoa; Chordata; Mammalia; Artiodactyla; Bovidae.